CUUAGGAUAUAUACAAUCAAUAUGAGUGAUUAUGUGAAGGGAAAAUGGGGUCUUUGAUAUUUUAUGGCUCGAUUUUAUAAUAACAGUUGGUUAUUUUAGAUAUUUCGACAGUCGAACAUUGUUCGAUAGUGAGUUGCUUGACGUAGAGGUAGCAUAAUGCGGGUGUGUGUGGUACUGUUGGUAUUGUCGGUGCUGAUCGCCGUAGUUUUAUCUCAACACGGCCACGAUCAUGGUUCCCAUGGAUCACAUGGAUCACAUGGCUCUAGUGGUUCCUUAAUUAGGGGCGGAGGACGUCGUGGUGGUCGUCGAGGUAUUAGCGGGGGUUCUCGCAGACUUGGGGGAUCCAUUCGUCUUGGCGGACGCCGUGGUCGAAAUGGAAGACUAAGAAAUAGAGGCUUGUACGGUACUGGAUCUGGUCUUUUAUUAAUUGGAGGUCAUGAUAAUUACGGCUACGGUUAUAGAUCAGGUGUUGGACUUUUAGAGAGAAGAAGACUACGGGCGAGAGAGAGGAGGUUAAACAGGAGAUUAAGGAGACUAAUUAGAAAUAAUGCAUAUGAUACUUAUGAUAACUACAACCACAUACACUACUAAAUAACAUAUUUGUACUGCAAUGUCUAUUAAACAUACAUUAUGCAAGAGCUAAAUCUGCCUAUUGCAAGUCUUUAUUUAGGCUUCAGAUGUUACAGAAAUUAUUAAUUAGAUCUUUAUUUACACAACGAGCUUAAAAUCAACCCUGUAGACCCACGGAUGGCUUGGGUAUAGUUUGAAUUAAAACAGCCUCGUCCAUUUAAAAUUAAAUCAAUAAAUGGCGGACAAGCUAACGUUUACCGUUACUCGCUGAUGUCACAACCGGAAACUGGCGAUGAAAAGCCUGCCAAGCGAGGCUACUGACUGUACUGCAAUGUCUUGUAACUUGAUAAAUAUCAAUAAAAUCCAUUCUGGCUGUAUAACAGUAUUUAGUAAUGUAAUAAAUAUAUGAAAAGUU
Molecule: long non-coding RNA, 985 nt
Organism: Patella vulgata (common limpet)
Lineage: Eukaryota; Metazoa; Mollusca; Gastropoda; Patellidae
Exons: 3
Source: RefSeq, a predicted model, not a curated record